Molecule: ribosomal RNA, 429 nt
Filed under: Acidobacteriota bacterium
Lineage: Bacteria; Pseudomonadati; Acidobacteriota
Also listed under: 1 other name
Description: Acidobacteria bacterium partial 16S ribosomal RNA
Rfam family: Bacterial small subunit ribosomal RNA
Source: RNAcentral
UGGGGAAUAUUGCACAAUGGGCGCAAGCCUGAUGCAGCCAUGCCGCGUGUAUGAAGAAGGCCUUCGGGUUGUAAAGUACUUUCAGUCGGGAGGAAGGUGGUAAGGUUAAUAACCUUAUCAAUUGACGUUACCGACAGAAGAAGCACUGGCUAACUCCGUGCCAGCAGCCGCGGUAAUACGGAGGGUGCAAGCGUUAAUCGGAAUUACUGGGCGUAAAGCGCACGCAGGCGGUUGAUUGAGUCAGAUGUGAAAUCCCCGGGCUUAACCCGGGAAUUGCAUCUGAUACUGGUCAGCUAGAGUCUUGUAGAGGGGGGUAGAAUUCCAUGUGUAGCGGUGAAAUGCGUAGAGAUGUGGAGGAAUACCGGUGGCGAAGGCGGCCCCCUGGACAAAGACUGACGCUCAGGUGCGAAAGCGUGGGGAGCAAACAGG